GGAGGCCAGAUGGCUCAGUGGUAGGGCAUCUGUUUGGCGUGCAGGUGGUUCCAGGUCAAUCCCUGGGAUCUCCA
RNAcentral lists this transfer RNA (74 nucleotides) under Sphaerodactylus townsendi. RNAcentral describes it as "tRNA-Ala". It matches the Rfam family "tRNA". From Rfam's summary of the family: Transfer RNA (tRNA) molecules are approximately 80 nucleotides in length. Their secondary structure includes four short double-helical elements and three loops (D, anti-codon, and T loops). Further hydrogen bonds mediate the characteristic L-shaped molecular structure. tRNAs have two regions of fundamental functional importance: the anti-codon, which is responsible for specific mRNA codon recognition, and the 3' end, to which the tRNAs corresponding amino acid is attached (by aminoacyl-tRNA synthetases). tRNAs cope with the degeneracy of the genetic code in two manners: having more than one tRNA (with a specific anti-codon) for a particular amino acid; and 'wobble' base-pairing, i.e. permitting non-standard base-pairing at the 3rd anti-codon position. The record is from RNAcentral. Lineage: Eukaryota; Metazoa; Chordata; Lepidosauria; Squamata; Sphaerodactylidae.